GGAACUGGAACACGGUCCGGACUCCUACGGGAGGCAGCAGUGAGGAAAUUUGCGCAAUGGGGGAAACCCUGACGCAGCAACGCCGCGUGAGUGAUGAAGGCUUUCGGGUCGUAAAGCUCUGUCGGGUGGGAAGAACCCACCAAGUGUUAAGACCACUUGGUGCUGACGGUACCACCGAAGGAAGCACCGGCUAACUCCGUGCCAGCAGCCGCGGUAAUACGGGGGGUGCGAGCGUUAUUCGGAAUCAUUGGGCGUAAAGGGCGCGCAGGCGGUUUUGUAAGUCAGAUGUGAAAUCCCGGGGCUUAACCCCGGAAGUUGCAUAUGAACUAUGAGACUUGAGUAUGGGAGAGGGAAGCGGAAUUUCCUGGUGUAGCGGUGAAAUGCGUAGAUAUCAUGAGGAACACCGGUGGCGAAUGCGGCUUCCUGGUCCGAUACUGACGCUGAGGCGCGAAAGCGUGGGGAGCGAACAGGAUUAGAUACCCUGGUAGUCCACGCUGUAAACGAUGGGUACUAGGUGUUGGUUGUAAUGAUCAGCGCCGGAGCAAACGCAUUAAGUACACCGCCUGGGGAAUACGGUCGCAAGACUGANACUCAAAGGAAUUGACGGGGGCCCGCACAAGCGGUGGAGCAUGUGGUUUAAUUCGAUGCAACGCGAAGAACCUUACCUGGGCUUGAACUGCAGGUGCUAUCUCCUGAAAGGGAGUUUCCUUCGGGACGCCUGUAGAGGUGCUGCAUGGCUGUCGUCAGCUCGUGCUGUGAGGUGUUGGGUUAAGUCCCGCAACGAGCGCAACCCCUGUCCCUAGUUGCCAUCAGGUCAAGCUGGGAACUCUAGGGGGACUGCCCCGGAUAACGGGGAGGAAGGUGGGGAUGACGUCAAGUCAUCAUGGCCCU
RNAcentral lists this ribosomal RNA (891 nucleotides) under uncultured organism. RNAcentral's name for it is "bacterial SSU rRNA". It matches the Rfam family "Bacterial small subunit ribosomal RNA", at positions 315 to 1202 of the family's 1533-position model. The record is from RNAcentral.